UGAAAUUCUGUACGACAGACUAAGAACAUUUAUGUUAUUAGCUCUUCGGACAUCAGUCUGCAAUCUUUUUCACGUCAUUCAUUUGACGGGAUUGGGAGCAGACGUUUUACCUUGAGAAAAUUAGAGUGUUCCAGGCAGGCUUCAGCCCGAAUACAUUAGCAUGGAAUAAUAGAAUAGGACUAGAGACUAUUUAUUGGUUUGAGGCUCUAGUAAUGAUUAAUAGGAACAGUCGGGGGCAUUAGUACUUAACAGUCAGAGGUGAAAUUCUAGGAUUUGUUAAAGACUAACUAAUGCGAAAGCAUUUGCCAAGCAUGUUUUCAUUAAUCAAGAACGAAAGUUAGGGGAUCAAAGACGAUUAGAUACCGUCGUAGUCUUAACCAUAAACUAUACCGACUCGGAAUUGGAUAAUUUUAAAAUAGGUUAUUCAGCGCCGUAAAAGAAAUCAAAGUCUUUGGGUUCUUGGUGGAGUACGAUCGCAAGAUUGAAACUUAAAGGAAUUGACGGUUUUGCACCACCAUGGAGUGGAGCCUGCGGCUUAAUUUGACUCCAACACGGGAAAACUUAUCAGGGUAAAUGUAUUUGCGAUUGACAGAUUUGA
RNAcentral lists this ribosomal RNA (598 nucleotides) under uncultured eukaryote. RNAcentral's name for it is "SSU rRNA". It matches the Rfam family "Eukaryotic small subunit ribosomal RNA", at positions 635 to 1252 of the family's 1831-position model. The record is from RNAcentral.